UACGGGGGGAGCAAGCGUUGUUCGGAUUUACUGGGCGUAAAGGGCGCGUAGGCGGUCAGCACAAGUCAGUUGUGAAAUCUCCGGGCUUAACUGGGGAACUGCGUCUGAUACUGGCGAGCUUGAGUGCAGGAGAGGAACGCGGAAUUCCAGGUGUAGAGGUGAAAUUCGUGGAUAUCGGGAGGAACACCAGUGGCGAAAGCGGCUCACUGGACCACAACUGACGCUGAGGCGCGAAAGCUAGGGGAGCAAACAGG
RNAcentral lists this ribosomal RNA (254 nucleotides) under uncultured bacterium. RNAcentral's name for it is "partial 16S ribosomal RNA". It matches the Rfam family "Bacterial small subunit ribosomal RNA", at positions 524 to 776 of the family's 1533-position model. The record is from RNAcentral.